Crotalus tigris (Tiger rattlesnake) is the source of this 113-nucleotide small nuclear RNA. RefSeq annotates it as U5 spliceosomal RNA. Lineage: Eukaryota; Metazoa; Chordata; Lepidosauria; Squamata; Viperidae. The record is from RefSeq and is a predicted model, not a curated record. The transcript has a single exon.
AUUCUCUGGUUUUUCUUCAGCUCCUAUAAAUCUUUCACAUUUUAUCAAAGGUUUCUGUGAAGAGACACAGUUAUGUGUUUGUAACUAAUUUUCUGAGGAUCUCCCUCGCUUCC